GGUUGGACAAACUAGUCUAAGUUUGAUUCCAAGAAAUUUGUUUCUGGGGUGGGAAACU
This 58-nucleotide non-coding RNA is filed under the name Clostridium estertheticum. RNAcentral describes it as "Na+-I sequence". It matches the Rfam family "Na+ riboswitch aptamer (DUF1646)". From Rfam's summary of the family: Proteobacteria, NC10, Acidobacteria, Verrucomicrobia. Lineage (Clostridia) The riboswitch of Na+ was first reported in a comparative analysis of intergenic regions and called DUF1646 RNA, it was also suggested that it acts as cis-reg RNA present upstream of Na+ genes. The record is from RNAcentral. Lineage: Bacteria; Bacillati; Bacillota; Clostridia; Eubacteriales; Clostridiaceae.